Molecule: regulatory RNA element, 182 nt
Organism: Mahella australiensis 50-1 BON
Lineage: Bacteria; Bacillati; Bacillota; Clostridia; Mahellales; Mahellaceae
Source: Rfam
UAUGGAGCAGGCCUUAGAACGUUUCGCUGUAUGCUCUGCGAGCGUAGUGAACGGCAGGCGUAGGCCGGGCAUGGACGCCCGGCCAGCCAGCACUGAGCAUGGACGCGAAUUGCUGGCGUUAGCCUGCCGGAACGAAGCAAGCAGUUAAGCAUACACGAAACAUUCUUCAGACUGCGAAAGAC